UCCUCGGUAGCUCAAUGGUAGAGCAUUCGGCUGUUAACCGAAUGGUUGCUGGUUCGAAUCCAGCCCGAGGAGCCA
RNAcentral lists this transfer RNA (75 nucleotides) under Candidatus Peribacteria bacterium RIFOXYA1_FULL_56_14. Its description in RNAcentral is "tRNA-Asn". It matches the Rfam family "tRNA". From Rfam's summary of the family: Transfer RNA (tRNA) molecules are approximately 80 nucleotides in length. The record is from RNAcentral. RNAcentral also lists the same sequence under 9 other names. Lineage: Bacteria; Candidatus Peregrinibacteriota; Candidatus Peribacteria.